AGACACGCCCACUUCCGAGUCCAACUUUUGUAUCCUCAGAACUUUAUUACUUCUUUGCCGCACAGCACUGCCGGUUUCAAACACAAAUAAAUAAAUGUGGAGGAUGUCGCUGAGAUUUUAUUACGGAGUUUGUUAAGCGGAGGACAAGCAUCGGAAGGAAGCAGGAGGCCACAGCUGCCUCAGUAUGUCGGGCUGCGGACAUUCUGCCAUGAAGCCGAUGCUAGGUUGUCUGCACGUCAUAGCGGCACUGAAGCCGAGCUCCAGAGCUUGUGAUGUGUUGUGUGCAUCAGGAAGGAACAUACAUAAAAGGAACGUGUUUUCACCAGUGUUAAAGAAACUCUACUUUGAUACCCACGUGGUGGUUCAAGCCCUGGAGGCCAAAGGAUUCACAACUCAGCAGUCGGAGAUGAUUGUGUCAGCACUGCUUAAAAUCAUGAAUGCCAAUAUGGACCUCAUAUAUCACGAUAUGGUUUUCAAAGUACAGCAGGAGAUUAGUCUUCAGCAGGUCAUGUCACACAUAACCUCUGCAAAAAAGGACAUGAUCAUCUUGGAGAGAAGUGAAUUCUCAUCUCUAAGAACAGAAAAUGAGAAAUUAAAGAGUGAGCUAGACCAACUGAAGAAGCAGGUGACUGAUGAAAUUACCAAAGUCCGUGCAAAUAACAAAUUAGACUUUAAUUUGGAGAAAAGCAAAAUUAAAGAAAUGUUUGCAGACAAUGUGCGGAAACUUGUGGAACUUCGAACAGAAAUAGUAGAAAUGCAAUCCCAGGAGGACAGAUCACUGACACAAACAAAACGAAAGAUUGACACCGAAGUAGCAGGAUUGAAGACUAUGUUAGAAUCCCAUAAACUUGACAGCAUUAAAUACCUUGCAGGAUCUGUGUUUACAUGCCUUACAAUAGCUCUGGGUUUUUACCGCUUGUGGAUGUAACAUUCAACGGCACAGAUCAGAAAAUGAGACUGUCAUCUUCUCUUAUGUUAUGAGAAGCAUACUGCGUAUAUGAUGAUUCUGUGGCAUUUAUUCACGUGUUUCUAGUGACAAGCAGCUGUGUAACCAAAUAGUGAGCAACAGUGUACAUGAACCACACAACAUGGAGUGAAUGUUCUUCCGUCCACUCAAUAAAAAGGAUCUGUGUUCACAUGCCUUACAAUAGCUCUGGGUUUUUACCGCUUGUGGAUGUAACAUUCAACGGCACAGAUCAGAAAAUGAGACUGUCAUCUUCUCUUAUGUUAUGAGAAGCAUACUGCGUAUAUGAUGAUUCUGUGGCAUUUAUUCACGUGUUUCUAGUGACAAGCAGCUGUGUAACCAAAUAGUGAGCAACAGUGUACAUGAACCACACAACAUGGAGUGAAUGUUCUUCCGUCCACUCAAUAAAAAGGUGCUUUCUAUUAA
RNA transcript from Bufo gargarizans (Asiatic toad), 1390 nucleotides. It is a transcript of the gene named mitochondrial calcium uniporter regulator 1, with no coding region annotated. Lineage: Eukaryota; Metazoa; Chordata; Amphibia; Anura; Bufonidae. The record is from RefSeq and is a predicted model, not a curated record. The transcript has 10 exons.